This 385-nucleotide long non-coding RNA is filed under the name Mytilus galloprovincialis (Mediterranean mussel). Lineage: Eukaryota; Metazoa; Mollusca; Bivalvia; Mytilida; Mytilidae. The record is from RNAcentral.
AACCGAAAGUAACUAAGUAGUAGGAGUAGAAAUCCCUUCGUUGACCAAAUUAGUCGUUUGGUCAUAUUGGUAAAGUAUAAAUAGAAGGUUCAUAUACACUGUGACUUUUGAAUGGUCAUUUAAUUAUAACCUGUCCUAGUGUGAGAUCACAUUUGCGUUAAAUAUAUUUUGGGGUUUUCUUUUUUUUUGGACGCAGGAGUAGGUAAUCCAAAAGUUAUGAAAUCCUACAUACAAUUUCAUUGGUUUAUAAUGUAGUCAGAAUUCUGUUGCUUCUGGAAGACUUUCAACAUCAACGGCAUUAAAAAUAUUUUAUAUAAAUUUUGAUAAGACUGAAUCUGUUUCUGAUCGAUUUUAUUUGAUGCGCAAUUUAAAAAUCCAGGUAGAC